RNAcentral lists this ribosomal RNA (253 nucleotides) under uncultured bacterium. RNAcentral's name for it is "partial 16S ribosomal RNA". It matches the Rfam family "Bacterial small subunit ribosomal RNA", at positions 524 to 776 of the family's 1533-position model. The record is from RNAcentral.
GACAGAGGGUGCAAACGUUGUUCGGAAUUACUGGGCGUAAAGCGAGUGUAGGCGGUUUGGUAAGUCGGGUGUGAAAUCCCCAGGCUUAACCUGGGAACUGCAUCCGAGACUGCAUUGCUAGAGUAUGGGAGAGGGAAGUGGAAUUUCAGGUGUAGCGGUGAAAUGCGUAGAUAUCUGAAGGAACAUCAGUGGCGAAAGCGACUUCCUGGACCAAUACUGACGCUCAUGUGCGAAAGCGUGGGGAGCAAACAGG